RNAcentral lists this long non-coding RNA (434 nucleotides) under Mytilus galloprovincialis (Mediterranean mussel). Lineage: Eukaryota; Metazoa; Mollusca; Bivalvia; Mytilida; Mytilidae. The record is from RNAcentral.
UUGGUUUUUGUUUUUUUUUAUUAUUAUGAAAAAUCCAUGUAAUAAUCUGAUAUUACAAUCCAAAUUCAGACCUGUAUCAAGCACAUAAUUUUUAUAUGUCCAUUUGCCCAAACUGUUCAGGGUUUGACCUGAGUCAGAGUGGUCGUAUCAAGCUGUGCUCAGCGAAGCAUUUUAUUUGUCUUACAAUUCAGUAUAUCUUAGCACACAUCUUAAUGAGACUUAUUAUUCACUGUUAUAAUAAUUUCAAUAAUGUUUUAUUUUUUUACUAUAAGCAUAGCUUAUAAAUUAUAUGGUUAAUGGAAAUUUAUUUUUGUUUAUAAUCAAUCAUAGGCCCAACACAAUGUGUCAUUAUAAAUACACAUAUUGAUUUCUCCAAAUAAAUUUUGCAUGUUAGAUGAAUUUUAAAAUCAUGUUAAUGUCAACACUCAGAUGGU